Molecule: long non-coding RNA, 4736 nt
Organism: Taeniopygia guttata (zebra finch)
Lineage: Eukaryota; Metazoa; Chordata; Aves; Passeriformes; Estrildidae
Source: Ensembl
UUGCUUUUGAAUCAGAGUAACUUUUUAUUUAGACCAAGUGAACUGUAACAUCCAGCAUGUAGUGAUGGCACCUGCAACCCCAAGCCAGCCGACUCUGAAGUCCCCAGUCCCUGUGACAAGAUGCUCAGGGCAGGAUCAAUCCUUCCUGCUGCACUGCUGGGAGGACACAAACGCCUCAGACAAGGAGGUUUGUGCACACGACUCCUCUUUCUGCAGGAAACUCUGAGCAGGAGGAGCUUCUGCUCCAGCAGGGAGAGCCUUCCCUGCCUCCUUCAGCUGCAGCCCGAGGGGGAAGCCCUUAUCUUCAAGUGAGCACCAUCCCUGAGGGGCCAGACAGAAAAUCAAUAGCAGUGCAGAGAUUUGCUGGCUCUGAAGAGCCAGGGAGAUGGAGCCCAUCACACAUGAUUAGAUGUGCUGAUUAUCUGCUGAUAUUCAGCAAAGGGACUCUCUCAGCAGAUGCCUCUGGCUCCUCUGUCCCUUCUCUGUCCUUCUCUGCCUCUGCUGUCACUUUUCUCAUGUGUGCUUCCCUGUUUCCACAUACUUCUGAGCUCUGGAACCUGUGCACAGGUUUUCUUCAGAUUUUGGAGAGAGCCCAGAGGAGUGAUGGCUUCAGACUGCCAGAGGGCAGGGUUAGGUGGGAUAUUGGGAAUGUGGUGAGGCUGGGCAGGCCCUGGCACAGGUGCCCAGAGCAUCUGUGGCUGUCUCUGGAUCCCUGGAAGAGUCCAAGGCCAGAUUGGACAGAGCUUGGAGCAGCCUGGGACAGUGGGAGGGGUGGCACUGGAUGGGCUUUAAGGUCUCUUCCAACCCAAACCAUUCUAAGAUUCCAUAUUUAAUAAAUUCCUUCUCUUGGCAUUCUGGGACCGUGGGAAGAACAUAGCAUCAAGUCAUCAGGCAGACUAACCCAUUUGCCUUCCAGCCAGGCUGUCCUCUUGGCUGCACCACAGAUCCAUGGGACAGACUCAGCCUGAACUCAUCUGGUCUCCAUUCUCCUCCUGCACCACAUAAUUGGUACCAGAAAAUUAAUCCCUGUCUUCUUCUUGCCUUCUCUACUUAAGCUGUAAAAUGUUGGGCAAGAGGCUGCUGUGCUUCCUAUUUAGUACAGCCGAGUUCUGCCCUUGCAUAGGGCUUCCAAACACUUUGAUGCAAAUUUCAGGAAUCUACAAUUAGAUCUGUAGCCAUGCCUGGUGGUGGCUCAUAAAGCCCAUCCCAUGUUUCCAUCACUUCUGUGGCAGUGCUGAGCAUUGAUAAAAUAAUAAUAGCAGUGGGUGUGGGAGAUAGCAAAAAUUUCCCUGCCACUCAGGGGGGAAAAUGAAAAGGAAAACUGUCAGUUCUGCUGUUAUUUUUUCUGCAGUCCAUCUCCUGUUAACUAUGAGCAGGAGCAGGUACAAUCUGAGUACAGCACUCCAAUGCCUUUCUCUUUGUGAUGUUUACAGCUGUAAAGCAGCCAAGGAUGACAAGCAAUUCCCCUGAAGAGUGUGAGCACUUGCAAGCCCAGUCACAUCCACAGAAGCCUCAGUGCUUGGCAGAAUAAGAAAACUGCACUGCACGGUUCCUGCUGAACCCCAAGCCCAGCUAGGACCCUCCUCUGGAUAAGGCAGGAGGAAUAGAAAAUUCCUGGUUUCACCUGGGCUGAAAAUCCUGGUUCUGAGUUUUAGGCUAAAGGAGAUUUUUUUUUUGUUUGUUUGCACUCUUGAAAGGCAAGAAUGGUCUGUGGCUCACAGCAUUUAAGGGAUUAGAGAGCAGAGGUCCCUGCCACAGUAUCCACCUCCUUUUGCACUACAUUAAGGAGAAAGAGACACUGCUCAGCAGUUCAGGAGGGAAGUAGGCUCCCAAGGAAUGGUUACAGGUACCUACCUACUGUGUAUUGUCUUAAAUAGAGUUGUCACUGGAAAAAAAUUACAUUCACCCCAAGGAAGAGUUUAGACACAAACAACUCUAGCUGGAUUUGUGGAUAUAAGACAGAGCAGAGAAAUCAGGGCAUACAGCUGGAGCCCUGAUCCCCAGAGGGAAUGGGUCCUGCCACCCCCUCCCUGCCAGCCUUGAGCCCCCCAGAUUCCACCAGCUGCCUCCAAGAAAUGAAACUUGCCUCUAUUUGUCUGCUAGUCCCUGGGAACAUGGGGAUGUCUCACUGGGAAGAUACUGCAAGAAAAGUAGAGAGGACUAAGCAGCCUCAUUAGCAGUUUAAUUGCAUAAAGUCCCUAGAAGAACUUUUACCUACUGAACAGCCUUUCUUUUCAAUUAGGUAGGAAAUAUCUACCUGCUUAGAUGAGGUGUGCACCACUGGGAUGCUCAUUAACCUGGAUGUAUUUGCUUUGUUGGACUUGGCUGAUAAUUAAAGUGGGUUUUUUGGGGGGGGUUUUUGGUUUGUUUUUGCUCCCUUGGGAAUGAGAAGGUCUUUCUAUCUCUGCCGUGGAUAAUCCUUGAGGCAACAGGCUUGGCUGGCAGGAUGUAUCUGCGAGGAGCAAAUUGUGUUUCUGCAGAGGAGCUAAAGCUGGGACCUGCCCUUCUGGAAGCCGAGCCUGGAUUAGAGUGGACAGUUGGGGAGCAAAAUCUUCCUCAGCCUGUGUUUUCAGGGUCUCUGGGGUCUCUGUCCUGCCUCUGGACACUCUGUACUGACAUCCUCAGUUUCGGGGACACUGGGAAGGGACAGGGUCAAGGUCCUGACCAGACAAACUAGGCACCCCCUUCCUGCCACCGAGGGGCUGCUGUCAGAGUCCUGCUGAGGAAACUGCUCUUCAGGAAGGGGAAAACACCCCCUAUUCUUCCUCCCCUCUCUCAACGGGGAUGGAUCUAUCUCCUUUCCUUCUGCCUCUCCCCUGGCUCAGGCAGGCCCAGCGGUUAUUUGGGCUGAAUCCCCUGCAUAAGCCCCUCUCCCAGCACAGAGCUGCCAAAAACCCAGCUGGGGUGGGACACCCUGGGAGUGUGAGUGGGCCCCCACCCCAGAGCAGGGUGUGGGAUUCCCUGUGCCCUCUACAGCCCAGACAGGCAGGGAGGACUGGCUGAGCACAGAGAGGGAGGAUCCUCCUGCUCUGCAGAGCCAAACACCUCCACCUGCACCCAGACCUGCCCAUGCUGCAGCGACCUGCGGGCGCUGAUGAGCAGCCCCAGAAAUCCCUGAGCCCUCAGGGUACACCCAGCAGCUCAGAAACCCCUGGAUUAAAAACUCCCCUGCUGCCCUCGGGCCCCAGUGAGCCACAACUCCCUGUGGAUGGGGAGAUGUUCUGCCUGCAGCUCAGCACUGAGGGCUGCAGCACCUUCCUGCCAGCUGACAGGGCUGGUUCCUGCUGGGAUGAUGGAUGGAGGCAGGCUGGGCUGAAAGUCCUGGCUCAGGAAUGGCCCCUGCUGGGUCUGGUGACCCCAGCCCUGGGGAGGGGUGUCUGUGCUCUGCUGGAGCAGGUGCUGUAAUGGGAUUCAGUCCAUUAAAGGCUGCAAAAGGCUCCAGCCCUGCUGUGGGCUGGGGCUCCCACAGCUGAGGAGGGGCACUCUGAGGAUGGGCAGAGGCAGCUUCUCUGCACCCCUGGAGAGUGUGCCAGGGCUUGGUGGCUUUUCAAAGCCUGUGUUCUCUGUGUCCUUCAGUACCUGGCAGAGCAGAGCGUUCACACUGAGAUGACUGAGCAAAUUCAUCAAAGGCCACAAGCCCAGAGCUCAGAGGUACCAGGUUUGUCAGUUCCUUGAACAGUCCUUCCUCUUUCAAGCUCUCCAAAGGCACCAACCCAGGGAGUUCAGCACUGUCUCUGCUUGUUCCUGCUGCAGUGAGGAAGACAGAUCAGACCUGGGGAGAUUUCCUGUGUGUGCUCCAGACUGGCACUGCUGCCUGCACUCUGCUUUCCAGCUCAAGGACUAAAGCUGAGAAAGGCACUUUGAGCCCAAACUUAGCUGGAUGGCUUAAGUGCCAAACUUGUGACCAACACAAGGUUAAUUCUUACCUCCCAAAUUUUUUUCAUGUUAAGGAGGAAGAGAAACGUUCUGUCAAUGUCCAGUAAAUAAUUUCAGAAGGAAGCUUUCCACUGGAGGGAAACAGAAAUCAAAUAUAGCAGUCCAGGAUUUCAGCAGAAAACAUUGAAUUCGUUCAGAGCUGGACUGCUCCACACCUGUCACUCAGCACUUCCUGGUCACAAAUGUCACCUGGGUGACAACAGAGGUCCCUUUCAGGCACAGCAGCUCCUGUUCAGCUCUGGAAGUAGAAACAGCUCUGUCAUUUGCCAAAGGAGAACAUUCAGCCAGAUGCUGGGGUCUGGCACAGCUCCAAGUGCUCCAGAAAUCCUCACUCCCAGGGAGGUGUGAGUUAUCCUGCUCCUGGGAAGGUGUUCUGUCCUGUUCCCAGGGAGGUGUGAGUUAUCCUGCUCCUGGGAAGGUGUUCUGUCCUGUUCCCAGGGAGGUGUGAGUUAUCCUGCUCCCAGGGAGGUGUGUUAUUCCACAGAUGUGUCCCAUGCAAUGCCUGUGGAGUGAGCAGGGGGCAGUGCCAGAGGAAGAUCCCAUGGUCUGUGUGUUGCUUCCUCAGGCUCAAAUUGUCUGUCAAACUUUGACAGGUGGUUUUCCACAUCAAACCCAAAUCUUUCUUCCUAUGACUUAAACCUGUUAUUCCUCCUCUUGUCCCCUAUGCACCAGGAGAACUCGUUCUGCCUUUCUCUUCUCUGUUCUCCCUCCUACACUUGAAGGCUGCAUUAAUCUUUACAACCUCUCUGGAAAAUAGAACAUUGCCAUUAUCUCCAAAAAAAAAAAAAAAAAAAAAAAAA